RNAcentral lists this unclassified non-coding RNA (345 nucleotides) under soil metagenome. RNAcentral's name for it is "partial contains 5.8S ribosomal RNA, internal transcribed spacer 2, and large subunit ribosomal RNA". The stretch from base 1 to 120 matches the Rfam family "5.8S ribosomal RNA", at positions 35 to 154 of the family's 154-position model. The record is from RNAcentral.
GAUGAAGAACGUAGCGAAAUGCGAUACGUAAUGUGAAUUGCAGAAUUCAGUGAAUCAUCGAGUCUUUGAACGCACAUUGCGCCCCCUGGUAUUCCGGGGGGCAUGCCUGUCCGAGCGUCAUUGCUGCCCUCAAGCACGGCUUGUGUGUUGGGCCUCCGUCCUCCUCCCGGGGGACGGGCCCGAAAGGCAGCGGCGGCACCGCGUCCGGUCCUCGAGCGCAUGGGGCUUCGUCACCCGCUCUUGUAGGCCCGGCCGGCGCUUGCCGACACAUCAAUCUUUUUUCCAGGUUGACCUCGGAUCAGGUAGGGAUACCCGCUGAACUUAAGCAUAUCAAUAAGCGGAGGA